RNAcentral lists this microRNA (19 nucleotides) under Corchorus capsularis. Its description in RNAcentral is "sRNA CCACVL1_29751". Lineage: Eukaryota; Viridiplantae; Streptophyta; Magnoliopsida; Malvales; Malvaceae. The record is from RNAcentral.
UUAUCAUUUGAUUAGUGUU